AAAUAAGAAGUAAAAUUUUACAUUUAGUUUCGACCUAAAAAAUUGCUUUUUAAGCCUUAUUU
This 62-nucleotide transfer RNA is filed under the name Crioceris asparagi (common asparagus beetle). RNAcentral's name for it is "tRNA-Arg". Lineage: Eukaryota; Metazoa; Arthropoda; Insecta; Coleoptera; Chrysomelidae. The record is from RNAcentral.